GGUGUAGAGUUGGCAUGGGGCGCGGUGAGAUGGAUGGUGGGAGUGUGAAUGGGAGGUACUGUGCGGAAAGGGUGUGGUGGCGGCUUGUGAAGGGGAGUGUGAAAUGCCCUGGCUUAAGGUGGGAAUGGGGCGUGAAACGAGGGUGCUGGAGGGUGGCAUAGGGGGGUGGAAGUCCACGUGUAGGUGUGAAAGGCGUAGAGAUGUGGAGGAACACCGAUGGCGAAGGCAGCCCCCUGGGCCAACACUGACGCUCAUGCACGAAAGCGUGGGGAGCAAACAGGAUUAGAUACCCUGGUAGUC
Molecule: ribosomal RNA, 300 nt
Filed under: uncultured Haloferax sp.
Lineage: Archaea; Methanobacteriati; Methanobacteriota; Halobacteria; Halobacteriales; Haloferacaceae
Description: bacterial SSU rRNA
Rfam family: Bacterial small subunit ribosomal RNA (bases 57-300)
Source: RNAcentral